Molecule: unclassified non-coding RNA, 97 nt
Organism: Tupaia belangeri (northern tree shrew)
Lineage: Eukaryota; Metazoa; Chordata; Mammalia; Scandentia; Tupaiidae
Rfam family: Y RNA
About the family: Y RNAs are components of the Ro ribonucleoprotein particle (Ro RNP), in association with Ro60 and La proteins. The Y RNAs and Ro60 and La proteins are well conserved, but the function of the Ro RNP is not known.
Source: Ensembl
GGCUGGUCCGAUGGUAGGUGGGUUAUCAGAGCAUAUUAACAUUAGUGUCACUAAAGUUGGUAUACCACCCCCCACUGCUAAAUUUGACUGGCUUUAA